AAGAAUUUGUUCGCCAGAAAAAACAGGUUCUCCAUUGCUAUUUAAUCUGAUAGUCAUGGUAGCUUUUUUGCCACAGCGACAAAUAGUUUUGAUUUCAGUAAGUUUAUCAGCCCAUGCUAAUAAGUAUUUACUUCCUUCAAAUAAAUUUCCCUUAAAGUCUGUUCUCAAACCAUAGCAUAGUACUGGAAUAUUUAGCUUAUCAACAACAAUGCAUAAUUCUCUAACUUGGAAUUUCGUUAGGAAUUGGCUUUCAUCAACUAGAACACAAU
This 269-nucleotide non-coding RNA is filed under the name Cryptosporidium parvum. Lineage: Eukaryota; Apicomplexa; Conoidasida; Eucoccidiorida; Cryptosporidiidae. The record is from RNAcentral.